This 43450-nucleotide long non-coding RNA is filed under the name Vitis vinifera (wine grape). Its description in RNAcentral is "long non-coding RNA (VVIN_LNC000736)". The record is from RNAcentral. Lineage: Eukaryota; Viridiplantae; Streptophyta; Magnoliopsida; Vitales; Vitaceae.
GCCACUGCAACUGUUUCUCCGUCUUAGAAACUUCUGUGGAUCACAGACGAGCUAUGCUCCCGUGGUCGUGAAUCUUAACGAGUGACAACCCGCAAUUUUACCGUAAUUACUGAAGCCUUUCCCCUCCUUUUUUUUUUUUUUUCCUUUACCCUGACUGAACAUGGAUAAAUGCUUAUCUUGAAUUUGAGGAAUGAUAAAUGAAGAUUUUGAGUUAUAGAUUGUGGGUUUUAUUUGUGUUAGUAAAUUUUUUUGGUUUGGUUGGGUUCUGUUGAGUUUUUUUGGUGGUUGAAGUAUCUUUAAUGCCUUCUUGUGCUUUGGUUUGUUUUUUCUUUGCGGUUUUUUUAGUUUUACUGAUAUUACUGUUAGAAUGGUGCUAUGACAAUUCCAUUUAUUGAUUUAUUUGAUAGAUGCUUCACAAUUUUGUGUUAUCAUGUGAAUUUUAUGGUGCCCUUGUAUCAUCUUGAACAAAAUCAACUUCUCAUUUUUGUAACUUUUUGAGUUUUGGAAUUACUUAUUUGAGUUUUACUUCACGAGGGUUGUUGUGGAGGUAAAGGAAGAGACAAUGUCCAACAUUAAUAGUAUCACCUAACACAUUUAUUGUUGAACACCUAUGGGUGAUCAGCUUGGAAAAUGAGAUAAUGGGCUUUCUACUUGUCUAUGCCAUAUCGGUCUGGGAAUUACAGUCCAAUCCUGUGAAGCCUCAUUGAAAAUUUGGGGUCAUCUUCUAAGAAGUGAUAGCCGAUAACAACUCAACUUCAAGGCCAAUAUGAACAUUUUAAAAGUUUGAAAAGGUAUGUCUUCUUUUUCCAUUGAAGAAGUUUGUGAUGGUGAUUCUUCCAUUUUUCUGUUUUCAGAGCUUUGUGCUUGUAUUUCUUUUUGCUCUGUGAUGCAGUAUGUGUUGAAAGAUCAGCAACUGAGACCUAGAGAGCUAGAGCGCAGAUGGGAAGCUGAAUUCUUGAGGUACCACAGGUGUCUUCUUGCCUCAAUGUAAAUAAAGGCUGAUUGAGUAAUUGGGUCUUUUUUCUUUUCCUCUCUCUCUCUCUCUCUCUCUCAUGUCAGGUGCUUAUUUAUACCUUAAUACUUGGUGGCAUUUGGCUAGCUUUAGUUGUUUAGGUCAAUAAAUUAACUCCUAAUAUAUAACUCAUUUCAUUCUUUUAGCUGAUUGUGAUAUCCCAUAUUGGAUAGGGGAAAAAGUUCAUAGAACUAUAUAUGUAUGGGCUCCUUUUAACCUUGUAGAUGCGUUUUAAAGCUGUGGGAGUCCCUAUCUACAUGGUUGGGAGCAAGCCAUUACAAAUGGUAUUAGAGUUGAGUCUUGAUCUCGAUGUGGAGGUUAGUUUGGACUCAUGAGGGGUGUAUGUUUCUUUGGCCUUGCAAUCUUGUAGGACACAAUGAGGAUGUUGUGUGUGCAUAGAGGGGGGAUGAUUAUGAUAUCUCAUAUCGGAUAAGGGAAAAAUUUUCUGAGGCUAUAUAUGUUUAGACUUCUCUUAACCUUGUAGACGUUUUUUUAAUGCCAUAAGGGCCCUUUAGGCCUGGAGCGAACAAUAUCUAUAUGGUUGGGAGCAAGUCAUUACAAAUUUGGAUCGACCCGCUCCCAAUUGUGUAAAUAUUGUCCGGUUUAGGCUCAAAGGGCUCUUAAAGCUUUAAAACACAUCUAAUUGGUUAAGAUGAACCCAGACAUAUAUAGUGCUAGAGACUUUUUCCCUUAUCUGAUGUGGAAUAUCAUAAUUACUCCCCCAUGUAGAGAGAAUAUCCUCGUUGUAUCCCAUGGGAUUGCGAGGUCAAAUAGACAGACUCUCCUCACAAGGCCAAACAAACUUCGCAUCAAAGUCAAAGGUUGACUUUGAUACCAUUUGUCCACUCUGGCUCAGAGAGCCCUCAUGGCUUUAAAACGCAUCUACUUGGUUAAGAGGAGCCUAUACAUGUCGUAGAAGAUACAAUUAUGUUAUAUACAAUUGUUUCAUAUGCAACUAUGUGUGUACACAACUAUGUCACAUAAAACGAUGUGUGUACACAAUUGUGUAUAUCUAUGUACAAUUGUGUGCAUACACAGUUGUGUGUGGAUUUGUGUAUAUAAUCCUUGAUUUGUAGGGAUCUUUAAUAUUUCUUUUUUGUUGCUAUAUAUAUUUCAAGGGUUGUAUACAUUUAAUAUAUGAAUGAAAAAUACAAUUUUUCUCCACAUGGUACCAAAGUCGAAUUAGGCUCCUUGUGAUUUAUUUAUUUUUUUUCCAGCCUUCAUUGUUGAUUUGUAGUACCCUUUAUCCUCUGUUUUUUUUAACCCCAGUUUAAUGGCCUUUAUUGUCAUUUCAAAAGCACUUUGCUAUAUUUUUCUCUAGAAUUAUGUCCAAAACAACAAAUAAGGACACUAUUUAGUGUACCUACUGCAAGAAGCCGAAACACACAAGAGAUCAGUGUUGGAAACUCUAUGGAAAACCUCAAACUUUGAGUAAAUAUUGAGGUUUCAAGGGUGGACAGUAGAGAACUCAAGCACAGUUCACCAAAUCUUAGAUCAAUGAAAACCUGUUACAAGAGAGGUUGAAUUCUAGUGGUAGUGAAUAUAUUAACAAGAGAUUGAGAAAUUGAAGAAUCUCCUAAGAACGCUUGAGAGUCCUAGUGAAGUUUACUUUCUUGCUCAGUUAGGUAAGCAUUCCCUGUCUCUUACUUUUAGUGUCUCAGAUAUGUCUUUCCUAGGCUCUUAGGUCAUCGACUGUGGACACAUAUGGUGUGUACAUUAAACCACUGUCCAACUUCUCCUUAAUAAAAUGUCUAUCUACUUCCACAUGCUUGGUUUUGCCAUGUUGUAUCGGGUUCUGUGCAAUGUUGAUGGUUGACUUAUUGUCGCAAUAAAGUCUCAUUGUUGUCUUCCAUUUAAUCUUUAAGUUCUCCAAGAUAAUCUUUAGCCAAAGCAGCUUACAGAUUCCUUGAUCCAUUGCACGAAACUUUGCUUCUACAAUAGAUCUUGCAACAACGUUUUAUUUCUUACUCCUCCAAGUUACCGAGUUCCCUCCUAGAAAAGUGCAAUAUCCUAUAAUAGACCUCUGACCAACAACUGAUCCUACAUAAUCUACAUCAAUAUAGGCCUCCAAUGAUAGCUCAGUGCUUUUCUUAAACAAGAUUCACAACUUGAGGGGGAGUGUGAAAGAUAUAGCUAUGUCCUAUAUGAGGUUGUGUGUGUACACAACUGUGUAUAUCUAUGUACAAUUGUGUGCAUACACAUAUGUGUGGAUUUGUGUAUAUAAUCCUUGAUUUGUAGGGAUCUUUGAUAUUUCUUCUUUAUUCUUUCUGUUGAGCUGUAAAUAGAAUAGGAGAAUUAUUUUCCUAUUAUGUUAGUUUCCUAUUUUUGUAAAUAGAUAGUUUUAUGAUUUAGGAAUAAGUUAUGAUUUAGGAAUAAGUUAGUUUAGGAAUAAGUUAGUUUCCUAUUUCUUUUCUUGUAAUCUCCUAUAUAAACUGUGUAUAGUCAAUCUAAUAGACAAAACUUAUUAUUUUUCAUCCCAUAUUUCGUGUCAUGGUAUUAGAGUUGUAGGUUUUUAAGACCUGAGCAUCAUUCUGGCCUUCAUCGCCAUUUUUCUGGCCUUCAUAGCUGGAUUUUUUUUUAUUCACGUGUUCUUUACAAACCUAUUGGAACUUGUUCAAUAGUGAAGAAAUGGAGAAGCUGAUAAGCUUGUUGGGAUCCCUUGACAAACCUACUGGAACUUGUUCUUUGGCUCUUUCAGGUACACCUUCACUCUCUUUUUGCAUAAAUGCCUUACAUAGGGUUUAUGAUGAUUCUUGGAUAAUAGACUCCAAUGCCACAGACCAUAUGACCUCCAAAUCUCAACUUUUCCAUACCUAUACCCCAAACCCAAGUAACAAGAAAAUUGCAGUGGCUAAUGGCUCUUUAGCUACCGUUGCAGGUUUCGGAGACAUAUACAUCACACCUACCCUUAUUCUUAAAAAUGUCCUCCAUGUACCAAAAUUGUCGGCCAACCUUGUUUCCAUUCAAAAGCUUACCCAAUAUCUUAAAUGUUAUGUUAUUUUUUUCCCUUCUUAUUGUGUUUUUCAGGAACAAGGCUCGUGGAGGAGGAUUGGACUUGCUAAGGAAAGGAGCGGUCUUUAUCACCUUGAAUCAUCUCAGAAAACUAGUAAUAAUUUGUCGUUGUCUUUUCUCAGUUCCUCAAAUAAAGAUACCAUUUGGUUGUAUCACCUACGUUUAGGUCAUCCAUAUUUUAGGGUUUUAAAGGUCAUGUUUCCUUAUUUGUUCCAAGGAUUAGAUAUUUAUGAGUUUCAUUGCGAAACUUGUGAAUUGGCAAAACAUACUUGUGUUUCUUUUCCUAUUAGCAAUAAAAUAAGUUCUCAUCAUUUUCAUUUGAUUCAUAGUGACAUAUGGGGUCCUUCGACUAUACCUAAUGUUUCUGGGGCUUGUUGGUUUGUAUCCUUAAUUGAUGACUGCACUUGGGUUACAUGAAUCUUUCUUCUUAAACAAAAAUCUGAUGUUAGUAUUGUUAUACCUAAUUUCCACUCAAUGGUUCAAAACCAAUUUGGGGUUAAAAUAAAAAUGGGCAUUUACUCAACACAACCCAAGCCUUACUCUUUCAAGGGAAUGUUCCUAAGUCCUAUUGGGGGGAAGUUGUUCUUACUGCCACAUACAUGAUAAAUAAAAUUCUCUCACGAGUGUUAGACAACCAAAGCCCCGUAGAGAUACUUAAGAGUUUCUAUUUAGGUGCACUGCAUUUGUUCAUGUCCACAGCCAACAUAGAGACAAGCUAGACCCCCGAGCCAUAAAAUGUGUCUUCCUUGGUUACUUAUCCACUAAAAAAGGAUACAAGUGUUACAAUCCUUCAGCCAAAAAAUUUUACAUCUCUGCAGAUGUCACCUUCACAAAAAAUAAAUCUUUUUUCCCCAAGUCCUCUCUUCAGGGAGAGAUUUCAAUAAUGAAAGAUAGUCCUUGUGAGUCCUUUGAACCUCUUGAUCUUCCUCAUGUCUCAACCCAUGGUGAUGAAGAACCUGAGUCAUUCGAGUCAAUCACACCUGAGUCACCCAAUUUUACCACUGAACCCGUGUCAUCCCCUGUUCCAACUAGUGUCACUUGCAAUUUUUCACAGUUUCCUAAGGUGUAUUCAAGGGAAAAGGCCAUUGCAGAACAAAAGCAUGUCCAAGAAUCCAACUCAGACCGUGGGAGUGAAAUCACGGUAAGAUCAGACCCACCUUUACAAACACAACUUGGUGAAACUUCCACUGACUCAAUAAACAACCUAGACCUAGACCUUCCCAUUGCUGUCAGAAAAGGCACCAAAGAAUGCACUAACCGACCACUUUAUCCACUAUCACACUAUGUGUCUCUUAAGCACCUAUCACCAGCCCACAAGAAUUUUAUUGUGAGUCUAAACACCACUAUCAUCCCUAACAUUGUUUCUGAGGCAUUGACAAAAAAGGAAUGGAAGGAUGCUAUGAGAGAGGAGAUGAGUGCAUUAGAAAAGAAUAAAACAUGGGAGAUUGUUGAAAGACUGAAAGGGAAAAACAUUGUUGAUUGCAAGUGGAUUUUCACACUGAAAUAUAAGGUUGAUGGAUCUCUUGAGAGACAUAAAGCAAGAUUAGUAGCCAAAUGGUACACUCAAACUUAUGGAGUUGAUUAUCAAGAGACUUUUGUUCUAGUUGCAAAAAUGAAUACUGUAAGAAUCCUGCUGUCACUGGCUGCCCACUACAAUUGGCAACUCCUACAGUAUGAUGUUAAGAAUGCAUUUCUUUAUGGUGAUUUAGAUGAAGAGAUUUACAUGAACAUCCCACUGCGAUUUGAGGGAAACACAGGUAACAAGGUGUGCAAGCUGAAAAAGGCCCUUUAUGGGCUAAAACAAUCUCUUAAGGCUUGGUUUGGGAGAUUUGCAAAAGUCAUGAAAGAGUCUGGAUACAUACAAAGCCAAGGUGACCACACUCUCUUUAUUAAGCACUCGGUUGUAAGGGGAGUAAUUGCUCUUCUAAUCUAUGUUGACGACAUCAUAGUGACUAUAAAUGAUGAGAGAGAAAAGCAUGAAGUGAAGUAGAGAUUAGCAACAAAAUUUGAGAUAAAGAAACUAGGGAAACUGAAGUGCUUCCUCGGUAUUGAGGUGGCAUAUUCCACACAAGGGAUCUUCAUCUCUCAAAAAAAGUAUGUGACUGAUUUAUUGGCAGAAACAGGGAAGAUUGGGUGUAAACCAGUCUCUACCCCAAUGGAUCCAAACCACAAGUUUGGAGAAGCUAAAGAAGAACCAGUGGUAGAUAAAAGAAUGUACCAAAGGCUGGUUGGUAGGCUCAUAUACCUUGCUCACACUCGGCCAGACAUCGCCUACUCGGUGAGCGUGAUCAGUCAAUUCAUGCAUGAUCCAAGAGAACCUCAUCUUCAAGCUGCUUACAGGGUGCUGCGUUACUUGAAAGACAACCUCGAGAAAGGAAUUUUAUUAAAGAAGAACAAUACUCUUGCUCUAAAAGCAUACAUCGAUGCUGACAAUGCAGGUUCCCCAGUGGAUCGAAGAUCAACUGCAGGGUAUUGUACUUUUCUUGGAGGUAAUCUGGUAACAUGGAGAAGUAAAAAGCAGAAUAUGAUAGCAAGGUCGUCUGCAGAAUCAGAGUUUAGGGGCAUUGCUCAAGGGUUAUGCGAACUACUUUGGCUGAAGAUUAUUCUAGAUGAAUUGAGAAUCAAGUGGGAUGAUCCUAUAAAGCUCUAUUGUGACAACAAGUCAACUAUCAAUAUUGCUCAUGACCCUAUACAACACGAUAGGACAAAUCAUAUUGAGAUUGAUAGACAUUUCAUCAAAGAAAAAUUUGAGGAAGGAGUAGUGUGUAUGUCCUAUGUUCCAUCAGAACAUUAAUUAGCCGAUAUUCUAACAAAAGGACUGAAUAAUUCAAUGUUUCGCGAUCUUAUAUUCAAGUUGGGAAUGGAAGACAUCUAUUCCUCAGCUUGAGGGAGAGUGUUGAACUAUAAAUAGAAUAGGAGAAUUAUUUUCCUAUUAUGUUAGUUUCCUAUUUCUGUAAAUAGAUAGUUUUAUUAUUUUCCUAUUUCUGUAAAUAGAUAGUGUUAUGAUUUAGGAAUAAGUUAGUUUCCUAUUAUGUCUCUUGUUUCCUAUUUCUUCUCUUAUAAUCUCCUAUAUAAACUGUGUAUAGUCAAUCUAAUAGACAAAACUUAUUAUUUUUCAUCCCAUAUUUCGUGUCACGUUCUUUUCUACUACUGUAUAUAUUUUAAAGGUUGUAUACAUUUAGUAUAUGAAUGAGAAAUACAAUUUUUCUCCACAUAUAUAGCGUUAGUAACUUUUUCCCUUAUUUGAUGUGGGAUAUCACACCCAUUGUUUGAUUCUCUACCUGUGUGCUAUAGUUGAGUGGAUGGCGCUCUUUUUGUGUUUAUGUAGGCAAGAGGUUUCACAAUCAGUUCAUCCUUCUUAUUAUUUAUAAUGAUGGGAUUAUCAUUUUGAUCUAGCAUGUUAUUACUUCCCUAAAGCUAAUAAGCCUCUCUUCCCCACUUAAAAGAAUCUUUUCAGAGAACAAGUAUCAAGGAAAAAUUAUGUUAUGAGGUGAACUUGGUUGUCUGCACUCAGAAUAAUGGAGGGAUAGAAGGCCUUGCUACACUGCUUCCUUGUUGUUUUGGUUUUAGCCUUUGAUUGGUAGAGUGAGUGGGGACUUUGCCUCAAAUUGAUUAAAGUGUGGAUUCUGUGUUUCUUAAUUGAUAAGACUGUGGAUUCUGCAUUUCCUCCUUUUGGAAAAACACAACUAGGUCAAUGUAGGCAAGUAAAUAUCCUGGUCAAAAUGAGUUUUCUUAGAAUUAAAGUUAGGUUGUCUUUCACCAACAAGGAUCAUACCACUAAAAUCAAUUCCUGGUUAUAGAUUUGUAUUGCGUCCUAUUUGUAAUGGAAAAGAUGAUGUGUUUGAUAUGACUUUGUUCUAGUUGCAGUUGUCUCUUCCUGCUGCUGUAAUACAUUAUCCUACCUUUGUCCUCUUUGCUGCAUUAGGUAAUGCUGCUAUGUUUAGUCUUAGGAUUGGUUUGUAUCAUGUACUACAAGAUGAUUUCUUACCUUUGUUUCAUUGGUGCAUUAGUUAAUGUUUAUGUAUUCAACUAUAGAAGGGGAAUAUAUGGCCUGAGAUUUAAUUUAAGUGGCACCUCUACUAGGCAAUGACUGAGUGGUGUCUCAGCAAGUUCUAUGUUGCUCCUAUGGUACCUUCAUCUCUUUCAUCAAGUUCUGUGCUUUUGAUUUAAUAUCUGUUUUGAUGCUAGUAGCUCUUUUAGUAAGUCAAGUGAGUGCUCCUUUGUGAUAGCGGGUGUUGGUGGGUCAUGUCUAUGUCAUGUUCAAGCCUAGGUAUUCCACUAUAUUGGUCAACCCAAACCCGACGCGAAUAAUAGCCGUGUCCAAAACUUAAAACCCAAAUACUACCUAACUAUUAAACAUGUAAUACGUCAUGCAACCUAUUUAAAAGAAAAUUUAAAAUAAGUCAAAAUAUGGGUUAAACAAUUUAUAGUUAUAAUUAGGUUAAUCAACUAGAUUAUUAUAUGGGUCAAUUCAGGUCAAAUUUGUGUUAUGUAGGUUGACCUAAAAAUUACCUAUUUAUUAAAUGGGUUAUGCAAGUCAACAUGAAUUUGAUUCAAGCCCAAUUAUACUCAACCCAAACCCACGAAAAGCGUGUUAGGUUUUGAGUUGUGUUGACGAAUUGUCUCAAACUUUGCCAUCCCUACUCUAUGAUUGACCAUUUUUUGUUGAGAAUACACAUUAUGACAUACUCUAGUAAGCUUAUAUUAGAGCAAUGAUCCUCACUUGUCCACUUUGAUGGUGGGUUUAUGGGCUUUAUCUCCUACUUUCUUGGUGGAGAACUUGAACCUACCAAAAACACCCACCAAAAAGAAAAUUGAAAUUUCCUAAAUUAGUGUCUCUACUCCUGGCCCCUGAAGUUAUUUCCAACAUCACUGUAAAUUAGAGAAGCAUGAACGUACAAUUUAAAAAAAAAAAAAUGAAAAAUAUAUGAGGUUCAUACCUUUAUCCCAGUGGGAUCCCAAGAAGUAAACUUGGGAUCUCUUGUGCCUAAAGCAGGAUCUGUGCCACCAGUGAAGAUUUGCAAUUCUUUGUGCUUAUCAUGUCUGUUUUUGGACCUGUGUUUGGUUUAAUAUAUUGGUCAUUGCAAUUCACUUCAGCUGCUGUAUGUUAGUCCAGGAAGGAUGAUCUAUUUUGGUGCUGUAUAGUGGGUAAAUUUACUCUUACAUGAAUGUUCCUUUGCACUUAUUGCAGUUACCUUUGGCUUUAGUUGAUCGAGUAAUGAUUUUUUUGUGUAUUUAUGUUUGGUCUGACAUGAGGGCAUGUCUUGAUGAUCAAUUCUGCUUCCUUUUCUUUCUCAUUUCAUGGAUGCAGAUCCCUGUCCUAAUUAUUUUAACGAACUAUUCUGUUGCAGGUUUUGGGUUGAUUUGGUACCCAACUAUGUUUAUAUAAAAUAGUUGUAAUAUUCCGUUUGUGGUCAAAAUGUUCAGCUUCAAUUAGAAGUCAUGGCAGUUGACUUAGUUUACAAUGUGUUGACUUAGCAUCCUAUUGAUCCAUAGGCUGUAGACUCUACUUUUUAGGGAUGCAUUAACUAAUCUUGGGUCUGAGUUGAAACCAUGUGCUCUUUGAUGUACUUUGACUGACUGAUGCACAUAUCUUCACGCACCCACCUUGAUUAAUAUGCAGCUUCUCAAUCUAUUGACGAAGAAUCUUGUCAGGAAAGUAAAAAAUAUUGCAUUAGUGAAUAUGUUCUGCUGAUCUUCUAAAUUCAGGAUCAGAUCAUUCUGUUUGAAUAUUAAGAUGAACUAAAAUAGAACAUCAAAAAUUAUAUAGAAAUGAAUUCAGUGAUUACUGUGGGGCAUUCCAAGAAUCGAACUAGGGACCUCUUGCACCCAAAGCAAGAAUCAUACUACUAGACCAAAUGCCCAAUUGUUAGUAAUAUUAUGUUUUAUUUUUGGUCAAGUGUUUGGUUGGAUUUACCAUUUUUUGCAGUAGAAAAUUUUUGCUGCUUGUUGACUGAAUGUACCUUUAGUCAUUAAUAUUUCAGUAUAGUUGGCUGUAUUCUUGCUUAUAUAUCAUGUUAUACUUAUGAUGAAGCUAAUGCAUGUAGCUUGAUUUUAGUAUUUGUAGCAAUCAACUUUAUGUGCACUAUGUUGACUUAACAUGCUGUUGAUCCAUAGACUCUAGUGUUUAGUGCUCCAUCAACUAGACUUGGGUCUGAAUUGAACCGUAUGCUCCUAUGGUUGCUCACAUUCAUGCACACACACAUAUGUUUCAUGAUACUUCUAUGUAAUUUGUUCACGUAUUUUGAUUUCUUUUGGUGGGUGUUUGCUAAAAUAAUAUGUUUGAUUUGGGUGAGAGCAUUAUUCUUCAUUAUGCCACCAUUAUAGCUUGCUGAUAGCUCUUUUUUUUCUGUUCUAGUGGUUUUUAUUUGAGUUGAGGCCAUUGCUUAAUUAGACAACCUUUGUAAAUUGUCCGUGAGAUCAAUUUGUAGGUGGGAAUCUCAUCAUGGAAAAAAAAAAAAGAUAGUAGAUUUUGAUGAUUUACAAGGUCUUCUGCUGCACUGAGUUGGCCUGGGUUAUAAUACUGAGUCAAGUUUGUGUCAAAAUAAAUAAAUAAUUUAUAAUAAAACCGUAAGUUUGUUUAAUCCCUGAUCUGGGCGGGGGCAUUCCGUGAAUCAAAAUUGGGACAUCAUGCACUCAAGCCGAGAAUCCUACCACUAGAUCAAUUGCCUUAGGUGUGUUUCUGUGGUUAGUUGUGUGUGCCAUUAACUUGGUUAGGUUAGCUUUUUUUGGUUGCAACUGAAAAUGUUUUUUCUUUUAUUCUCCUCAAUUGGGAAACUUUUGAAUUGCAAGAAGAGGUGGUCUUUGGCUAGGCAGGUACUUAGAGGGUCCAAGAAAUAUGAGAGUCUUAAUCAAAUUUGAUGCCCAGAUGCUCUUGUGGAUCUUUACAGUAAUCUUAGAAGAAACAAAAUUUCUGGGUCUUGAUCUUUAGAUCUCCCUGAGCAUUCUCUAUACCCUGCAAGUGACUGCAGAUGACUCAUCUGAGGUAUUGGUCUUGAGAUGGAUGUGGUUAUAUAUUUUUCCAAUAACCACUAGAUUGCGAAAAGAAAAAGGUUAUUUGUGGUAUUAAAAACUUCCUAAUAAGAAUUCAUGCAAUUUUUCAUGUUUCUUCACUUGUUGAUCCCUAGAAGUCAUGACUGCAGCCUUAAACAUGAGACUAGUAGUAAUAUAAAAUUCAACUCAGUGAAAAAAUAAGUGAUAAGUACACAUUACAAAAAAUUAAGUAUCCUUAAUCACUAUGCUCUGCCUUGGGGUGCCAAAAAGUAGCAUAUCAUGUUGAGUAGCUCAAAAAUUUGUCAGAGCUCAACUAAGGAGCUGAUGCUAACUGUCCAAAAGUUCGAUGGGGGUAAUCCUUUUUUCCAACAUCUCAUUCCUAUAAUUUGUCAUUGGCAAACUAAAUUUGUAUUUGGUGGGUACUGUAUAUUUCUCUCUGCACACUCUCUAGUUCAUAAAAAGUAUUUGGCUCAAAUGUUCAAAACAGAAUGGAAUGUUAUUUAUGUUUGGUGUGUGCUGUAUAACCCUUGGUGAACACUUUCUGGUUCCUACAUGCUUCUCUGCUGCCUUUUCCUGAUCAAACCAUUCUGCUCAAAUAUUUAAAACGGGAUGAAAUAUUGAAAUGAAUUCCUGAUCAAAAGUGGGUCAUUCCGAGAAUCGAACUCGGGACCUCUCGCACCCAAAGCGAGAAUCAUACCACUAGACCAAAUGCCCAAAUGUUGAAUUUUAUCAUAUUCAACUUGUGAUCAAUGUGUUUGAUUGGAUUCAAGGGAUUAGUCAUUUUUUAUCUCCAGUCACUCCUUUUAGUUUUUAAGUGGACCUUCAUUUAAGGAGCAGACUGUUCCUGUUGCCUCACCUGUGUUGAGGUAUAAGUGUGCCUAGCAGGGGUUGAAUUUGAAAGCGCUACUUCUUGUAUUCUUAAUUUCAGAAGCCAUUAGUUGCUUGUAUAGGGUUUUGUUUUCAAGCUAACUGUUUGGUUUGGGUUUGUUUUCAAGCUAAUUGCUUGGAUAGGUGGGUUUUGUUUUCAAUCUAAUUGCUUAGAUAGGGUUUUGUUCUCAAGCUACAAACUAUUGCAUUGAUCCUUUUGUGAAUCUCUUUGGAGGAACCAAAAUUGUCUGAUCUUGAACCUGAGGCUGCUAUAGUUAUUGGAUUCUUCUCCUCAGAAAUUGAUUUUGUUUCUGUAGCCUCUGCAAGCAUGGAAAUCUUUUGUACGACAAUAGUGUUCAAUUUAUUUCUUCUCUUUAUUAAAUGGAACUGUCUUGCUAUAAAGUUCCACUGCAGGCUUCAGAUGACUAUCAGAGGCAAUCAAGUCAGUCUGCAGUGUCAAUCUUUUUUGUGUUAAGCUGGAGGAAAGCAGUGUAAGACUUGAAAGCGAAUCUUUGUCUGGUGGCAUUCCAAAACUAAUUGGAAUUCUUGCUGAUGCUAUUCCCAAAUAAAUCAGGCAUUUUCUUUUUUUGAUAUGUAAAAGACAAAAGUAUUUUAUAAAUAAAGAGAAAAGGCACCCAAAGGACAGCCCAAAGCAUACCGGGAGUAUACAAGGGGUGCCUCAAGGUGAAAGCCAAGAAGAAGAGGGGUUACAGAAACUUACCCACCCUCAUUUAGAACCCAACUAAUCAAAAAAGUCGAUCAAUGAUAAAGGACCUACAUCUAUGACAACUUAUUCCAAGACCAAUAAUUACAAACAAAAGAAUUUUUCAAUCUUUGAACCAAAAACUUCCCAUUUUCAAAAGCAAUCUUGUUUCUUUCCUUCCAAAUAGUCCAAAAGAGGCAUAAAGGGGUUGUCUUCCACAAAUUUUGACGCUUCUUGCCCACAAAGGAACCAUUUCAACCAAUAAGAGUCUCUUUAACUAACAAAGGAAGAACUCACGACACCCCAAAGAGAGCAAAAAUUAACUCCCACAAAGCCUUAGCCUUGGAGCAAUGAAUUAGGAUGUGAUCUAUAGACUCUUAUUUAACAAGGCAAAGGAAACAUCUAUUAGCUAGAGUCUACCCCCUCCUUUUUAAUUGAUCCAAAGUUAAGACCUUACCCCAUGAUGCUUCCCAAGUAAAAAAGCCCACUUUGGAGGGCACACAUGUCAAAACACUCAGAAAAACCCUAGAAACUGAGAACUCUCCACCUUUAUUAUCCUCUGCAUCCAUCUAUAUACAGACGUAUAUCCUAUACAUGGAGUCUAACUGAUUCCUAAAUUGUAUAUGGUAACAUUAACAUAUACAUGGUAAGCCAAUUCUGUCAAUCUUUUCGUAUAUGUACAACCAAUCUGAUUCCUAAAUUGUAUAAGGUAACAUUAACAUCCCUUCUCAAAUUGAUGCUGUUAAGUCAACAAGCAACAAUUUGCCAACAAGAAAUUGAUGCCGCUGUCGAGUCAAAGCUUUGGUGAAGAUAUCCGUCACUUGGAGAUCAGAAGAGAUGUGAGGAAGAGAUAUCACCCGACUUUCCAAGGUGUCUCAAAUAGAAUGACAAUCAACCUCAAUGUGCUUGGUACGUUCAUGAAAAAGGGGAUUGGUGGCAAUCUGAAUAGCACUAGUGUUAUCAGCAUGAAAAGGUGUAGAAGUUGUCUGAGGAAACCCAAGUUCCUCAAGAAGACCGCGCAGACAUACAAUUUCAGAACAAGUAGUAGACAUGGCACGAUACUCGGCCUCAGUAGAGGAUUUAGAAACACGAUCUUGUUUCUUACAUUUCCAAGAAAUUAAGGCAUCACCUAAAAACAUACACCAACCUGUAGUAGAUCGACGUGUAUUUGGACAUCCAGCCCAAUCAACAUCACUAUAGGCAACAAGUUGAAGAGAGGAGCCAGUAGGAAAGAACAACUCACGAGUAGGUGAACCUCGAAGAUAGCGGAUGAUGCGUCGAAUUGCAGCAAGAUGGAGAUGCCGAGGAGAAGGCAUAAACUGACUGACCUGAUGAACAACAUAGGAGAUAUCAAGUCGAGUAGUGGUCAAGUAGAUAAGACUCCUAACCAGGCGCCGAUAGAGAGUAGGAUCAUCCAAAAGGUCCCCUUCAUCUUUCCUAUAUUUGACAUUUACCUCCAUAAGAGUAUCGAUAGAAGAAGCGUCCUCCAAACCAGCCAAAGUGAUAAGAUCUUGAAUAUACUUAUGCUGGUUCACAUCCAUCUGAUGCAGUUGCCAUGACUGUGAAGCGGCAAUAGCUAAGAUGGUUCAAACCGUGGUCAUUUUGGCAACAGGAGCAAAUGUCUCCUCAUAAUCAACCCCAUAUUCCUGCUUGUUACCCAGAGCUACGAGGUGAACUUUGUACCGGUCCAAAGAGCCAUCAGAACGAAGUUUUACAAAAAAAACUCAUUUACUCCUAAUAGGUUUGACUGUAGGAGGACAAGGAACAAUAUCCCAAGUACGAUUCUCCUCAAGUGCUUGAAGUUCUGCUUGCAUUGCAUUUUGCCAACACUCGUGUUCAGAACUUCUUGGGACAAUCCCGAGCAAUAUGACCAAAAUCUUUACAACUAAAGCACUAGACAACACGCAUGCCUUGACCCUUAUUUCACCCUUGUGCUGCAUAAGCCACAGAAACAGGUGCACUAACAUUAGCCCGAUGUUCCAUGGUAGCUUGAGUUACGAUACACUGCUCCUCACGCAGAAUUUCACUCAAGCAGGCAUCCAGAGAUGGUACAGGAUGACGAUUCAUCAGAUUAGACUGUGCAAUUUCAAAGUCGGGUCGUAGCUUCAUCAAGAAUUGAUCUCGCUUGCUAGUUGCAUGCACUACUUGGACAACAGAGAGAGCUGCAGUAGGAACAUUAGCAUAAACAAUGUUGGAAUAAUCAGUCCAAAGAGUUUGAAAACCAGAAAAAUAUUCCUCAAUUGAGAGACUUCCUUGUGUGAAAUUAGCCAUCUCAUACUCCAAUUGAAAACGCCUAGCAGAGUUGUCUUGAUUGUAAACCGUGUGGAGAUAAUUCCACAUAGCAGCAGUAGUUUUAUAAAGCCUUAGAUUGAGAAUAAGGUGAGGUUCGAUCCAGGUCAUAACUCGAGCAUACUUAAUUUCCCACUUAGACAAAGCCUCGGCAUCACGAGGUGCAGGAUUACUCUCAUCAAUAUGACCCCAUAAUUCUUUUCCUUGUCAAAUAAUUUAAAUUGAAACUCCCAAGCACAAUAAUUUUUGCUAGUAAAUUUAAUAGGAAAUUAUUCUAACUUAUCUAAUGACAUGAUGCAACCGAGAGACAAAGGAAAUAGCCCACCAAAAAAUUGAAACAGAAACACUCUUAGCUCUCUGUUGUCUGUCUGUUUCUCUCUCUGACUUUCUCUCUAAAAUUAGCUUGCAGGUUUUGGUGUGGGUUUAUGAUGAGAGAGAAAUUAGAGUUUCAGAGGUCAUCUGUGAAUUUCUAUGAUGGUUGUUGCAGUAUCAACUACACCAAAUCCGAAGACCUCGUCACGAUGAACCCGAUCAACACUAUUUUCGAUGCCAAACAUUUGAUUGGUAGAAGGUUCUCCGAUGCCUUGAUUAAGAGUGAAGAACACUAUUGUUACAGUGCCUGCCUACUUCAAUGACUCUCAGCGUCAAGCCACCAAGGAUGCGGGAGUUAUUACCGGCCUCAACCUGAUGCAUAUCAUCAAUGAGCCAACAACUGCCGAGAUACACCCCUCAAACGCAGCUACUAAAGGGAUUGAAACCCAGAAAAAAAACACCCACAACAAUCACAAAAAAAAAAAACCACAAAUGCCCCACAGGAAGUGUCUAAAUCUCCAAGAAACACGAACUCCACUCAGAAGGCGCCGAAACCUUGCUCUGAUACCAUGUCAAAACACUUAGAAAAACCCCAGAAACUAAGAACUCUCCACCUUUAUUAUCCUUUGCAUCCAUCUAUAUACAGACGUAUAUCCUAUACACGGAGUCUAACUGAUUCCUAAAUUGUAUAUGGUAACAUUAACAUAUACAUGGUAAGCCAAUUCUGUCAAUCUUUUUGUAUAUGUAUAGUUAAUUUGAUUCCUAAAUUGUAUAUAGUAACAUUAACAAUGCAAGGGUUCCAAAUGAUGUUCCACGGAAAAGGAGUUGCAUUCCUUGUCUCCAAAGCACCAUAAAGAGACUUAAUAGAAAACUCCACACUUUUAGUCUCUUUCCAUAGCAUCCUAUCCUCCAAAUCCACAAACACCCUCUUUUCUUGAAUUAUCAAAAGGAAUCGCUCCAUCAAAUCCACCUCCCAAUCAUUGAGUAGGAUUCCAUCCCCCUACUUCACUCGAUAAAUCCCAUACCUCCGCCACCCAAACCUCUUUAGAGUCCACCAAAGUAUAUACGAAGAUGGGAAAGAAUCGCACAAAGCAACAUCACCACACCAAUUAUCCUUCUAGAAUCUCACUUUUCUCCCAUUACCCACUGAGAACCCAAUUUUAUUACUUAAUAAAAAUCCCUCCCUCGAAAUUUCCUUCCACAAACCCACACCAUACCCCUCCUUAAUUGCUCGAGUACUCCACCCCCCUUUUUCUACCCCAAACUUCCUACCAAUAAUGAUAUAGGACAACCCUAGGAUGGUUGCCUACACUCAAGGGUAGGUGGGCUAGGGUUUUAUUUUUAGGGUGUAAGGAGAGGAACAAGGAAUAAAUUUUAUGGUAGAGAAAAUUAUAAGAUAAGAAAUAGAGAGAGAAAAAACAAUGAAGAAAAGAUGGAAAACCUUAGAGCCUCAAUAAGGCCUUCUAAGAGUCUCACCUAGAAGAAAAUCAAUGAAGUCUCACCAUUGAGGGUUGCAACCUUGUACUGAAAGAAAGUAUAAUAUUAUUCAUCAAAUUCAACCCUUUAAUUUACUUUGAUUAGCCUAUUUAUAGGCUUCUCUAAGAAAUCCAAAGUCUAUUAGGAUUCUAAUAACCUGUUAUGAUUCUAAUUCUAAUUAUAACAUCCAAAGUCUACUAGGACUCUUCAAAUUCUAAUUAUAUUAUAACUCAACUAGCUAAUCCUAAUUAGACUCUAACAAAUAUUAAUCCUAAUUUAAUUCCAAGUAAUAUUAAUACUAUUUUAAUUAUAACUAAUACUAAUUCCCUUUCUUGAUAUAUAUCUUGAAGAUUCAUCCUCAUCAAUUCCCCCUGACUUGAAAAAAAACUCGACCUCGAGUUUUAGUGAUUUUCCACGAUCAAUUGAUAUUCCGAGCAAUGUCUUCCACCCUUUAUUUCUUCGUCGUCUCUUUCCCAUGGUAAGACAGGAUCUCAAGAUCUCUUGAACUUGUUCAAUUUCAUGCAAGACAAAUAUUGUGCUUCGAAAAACUUUUUGAUGUUGUAUGGGGAAAAUUGUUGGGGGGAGUUCAUACGCAACAAUAGCAAAACGUGCUUUGUUGGGUAAUCCAAACGCGAUCGCAGUGAAGGUCAAAAGAGAGGAAUCGAUGGGAUUGUUGAAGAAGUUGGAACACUGCGUUGUGGCGAGCAGGAGGGGUAACGUAGGGGAAGAGGAUGAUCUUGAGAAGCUGGGACAGCAUUGGGCAAAAUCGUGGGAGCUUAAAGGUAGCUUAGGGUUGGCUAAAAUGGAAAAGGGAAGGGUUCUACUGGACUUUGAAGACUUGGAAGAGGCGCGUCGUGUUGUUUCUUCUGGGAAUCGCACGAUGGAAGGAGUCCAGGUAGGGCUGGAUUUUUGGAGUCCGAGGAGUGGGUGCUGGACAGAGGAGGAGAAGGCAAAGGAGAUUUGGGUGAGAUUAUUUGGACUUCCAGUCUCGUUUUGGAGCCCAGAGAUUUUGAAGAAGGUGGGGGACGAAUGCGGUGGCUUUAUAACAGCCGACGAACAAAUGAAGUCGUUGGGCGAGCUACAGUGGGCCAGAAUCUUAGUGAGGGGAAGAGGUGAUGCUCGUCCGAGUGUUCUGGAAGUCGAAGUGGAAGAGGAGGUCUAUGAGAUAGCAUUAUGGUGGGAAUGUCGUCCGGUGAUAAGGAGGUCUUCCAGACAAGCAGACGGUCGUUGUAGAAGCGAGGUUGGGGGUGAGGAGUCCUCACGCGCGGAGAAGCGAGUGACAAAGGGGUGGGUGAGCGUGAGGCUCGAGGACCUGCAUCCGUCAGGUGAUGGGACGGGUGGGUAGAGGGCUGUUGGGGGUCGGGUUGUAUCCAAUGAAGGCCGAGGCCCAAUAUUCCCGUCUUGGACUCAAUUUGGUGCAGUCCACCCUUUAAGCCCAAAUGCCAGCCCAAAGGUGUUAAAAGGGGACGGUGGGCCUGGGCUGAAGAGUGGAGUAAUGGGAUUAAAGAUGAAAGGGGUGGCUUUAAGUUCAGAUGCAGGCCCGUCGUGUAGGCCCGAUGAGGUGGGCUGUUCCACUAUAGGCCCAGUCUCGACAUCAAACAAAGGCCUAAGUUCAAAGGGAUAUGGUCCACAGUCCGUUAGAAGUGUAAAUACAAGGGAGGGCCCAUCUUCUUCAUCAGCAGGCCAAGACCAUAAUAUCUCUCAGAAGAAGGACUUAAUGUUGAUGGGGCCUGAUCCAGGUAAGACUCAUGCGCCAGAGCCUUUUGUUGCGUNNNNNNNNNNNNNNNNNNNNNNNNNNNNNNNNNNNNNNNNNNNNNNNNNNNNNNNNNNNNNNNNNNNNNNNNNNNNNNNNNNNNNNNNNNNNNNNNNNNNUAUCAGAGACGGAUAAGGCACUUGAAGAGGAAUCAAUGAGGUAUGGAAAUGGGUUGUGGUCUUGGGGAAAAAGGGUUCUGGGGAUUUCUCAUCUCAACUCUUUUAAUUUUGAUCGGACUCCGGGAGUGGAGUCUUUCGGUCAUUCUGGGGAUUGGAAUGAGGGAGUUCGGGUUGACAAUACAAUGUGGCUAACGGUAUAUGAGGGCUGUGUUGAGAGGAGCAAUGGAUGCAGGGAGGUGGGAGCAAAGGAAAGUAGCAGUGAUACGGGAAGGGGGACUCUUGAGGUCGGUGCCAUAUAUGAUACCCAAACAGAGAGAGGAAUGCAGGAGUAUAAAUGGGAGGAGAGUGAUCUGGAAAAAUUUAGUCAAUUCCUGGGAUUCCCCACGGAGGGAUUGGAGAAGGAAAUACUGAAGUUUCUGUCUCAAAUCAGAAAGAGAAGGGAGAAAAUCCAUAGUAAAGAGCUAUUGGAAAAAUCUAAGUUUGAAAGGGAAUUAAAAAGACUGGAAUGCUCCAUUAAUUAUGAGGGGGGGAUUAAACAGAAAGGCUUGGUACAGGGCAAAGGGCGCCAGAUUGUGAUUGUCCAAUGAAGAUGAAAAUUCUGAGUUGGAAUGUGAGGGGAGCAAAUGAAAGCUCUAAAAGAAAAGUAAUUAAGACGUUUUUAAGGAAUCAGAGGGUGGACGUAAUCUGUAUUCAGGAGACUAAAAUUCAAGCGAUGUCGGAUAACAUUGCGAGAAGCAUAGGCUCCGGCAGAUUCCUAGAGUGGAAGGCUAUGAAUGCGGAAGGAGCUUCAGGAGGAAUUCUGAUGUGCUGGGAUAAAAGGUCCCUGGAGGUUCUAGAUUGGGAAGAGGGCCAGUUUACCUUAUCUUGUAGAUUCCGGAAUAUAGAAAAUGGGGCAAUUUGGAUUUUUACGGGAGUGUACGGCCUGUUCUCCAAGAUGGAAAGGGAGGCUUUAUGGGAUGAGUUGGGGGCGAUUAGAGGGCUGUGGGAAGACCCUUGGUGUAUAGGGGGGGACUUUAACAUAACCUUGUUUCCGAGGGAAAGGAGCAGCCAGAGGAGAAUGAAUUCAACAAUGAGGAAAUUUGCGGAAAUAGAGGAUGAUCUGGGGCUAAUGGAUCUCCCACUUCAAGGGGGAGAAUUUACUUGGAAUGGGGGACAAAACAACUAGGUCUGGGCAAGAUUGGACAGGUUCCUUGUUUCCCCUAGUUAGACUGACCAAUACAAUGGGAUUAGUCAAUGUAGGCUGCCCCGUCCGGUUUCCGAUCAUUUCCCAAUUAUGCUAGUGGGGGGGGGGGGGGAUAAGACGAGGCCCAACUCCAUUCAGAUUUGAAAAUAUGUGGCUUAAGGUUGAGGGCUUCAAAGAGUUAGUGUGCAGCUGGUGGCAAGGAAUUGAGGUUAGGGGCAGUGGUAGUUACAAGUUGGCUACUAAGAUGAAGGAAGUCAAACAGAAAUUGAAAGUUUGGAAUAGAGAAGUCUUUGGGAAGCUGGAGACCAAUAAAUCCUUAGCCUUGCAGCAGGUGGAGUUUUGGGAUAGGGAGGAAAGUGGGAGAAUUCUGAUUGUGGAGGAAACAGAGCUUAAGAAAGAAGCAAAGGAUAAUUAUAGGAAAUGGGUGAUUAUGGAAGAGACUCAUUGGAGACAGCUCUCUAGGGAAAUAUGGCUGAAGGAAGGGGAUAGAAACACGGGCUUUUUUCAUCGUAUGGCAAGCGCUCACCGUAGAAAUAAUCAGUUGGAGAGAAUAAAGAUCAAUGGGGAGUGGCUGUUAGAGGAGCAGGAAAUCAGGGAAGGAAUUGCUAGUACGUUCCAAAGCUUGCUUUCAGAAGAUAUGGGGUGGAAGGCGGACAUAGGGGGCCUUCGGUUAGACCAGAUCAGCCAACAAGAGGCUGAGACCUUGGAGAGGCCCUUUACAGAGGAGGAAAUCUACGUGGCACUGAUGGAGAUGAAUGGGGAUAAAGCCCCUGGUCCGGACGGCUUUACAAUGGCAUUUUGGCAAAGUUGCUAGGAGUUCAUUAAAGAGGAGAUUUUGGAAAUGUUCAAAGACUUCUAUGACCACAGUUCUUUCCUCAAGAGUCUCAACAAUACCUUCUUGGUGCUGAUUCCCAAGAAAAGUGGGGCUGAGGACCUUAGAGACUUCAGACCGAUUAGUCUCUUAGGGGGGCUUUACAAGUUAUUGGCUAAAGUGCUAGCUAACAGAUUGAAGAAAGUAGUUGGUAAGGUGGUAUCCACUUCUCAGAAUGCCUUUGUGAAGGGAAGACAAAUCCUUGAUGCGUCUUUAAUUGCAAAUGAAGUGAUAGACACGUGGCAGAAACAAAAGGAAAAGGGCAUUAUAUGCAAGUUGGAUAUAGAGAAAGCCUAUGACAGCAUCAAUUGGAAGUUCUUGGUGAAGGUGUUACAAAAGAUGGGAUUCGGGUCCAAAUGGGUGGGGUGGAUGUGGAGUUGCCUAUCGUCAGCUAAAUUUUCAGUGUUGGUUAAUGGAGUGCCUGCAGGUUUCUUCCCUAGCACUAAAGGCCUUAGACAAGGGGAUCCGUUGUCUCCUUACCUCUUCAUCAUGGGGAUGGAAGUGCUUGAUGUGCUUAUCAGGAGAGCUGUGGAGGGGGGGUUCUUAUCAGGAUGCAACAUAAGGGGUGGAAGUGGUCCCUCUUUGAACAUCUCUCACUUGUUUUUUGCUGAUGACACAAUUAUCUUCUGUGAGGCCAGAAAGGAUCAUCUAACUUACUUGGGGUGGAUUUUAUUCUGGUUUGAAGCGGCUUCAGGCUUAAGGAUUAACUUAGCCAAGAGUGAAGUCAUUCCAGUUGGUGAGGUGGUGGAGGUGGAAGAGUUGGCUGUUGAGCUUGGCUGUAGGGUGGGGACUUUACCUUCUCAGUAUUUGGGUCUUCCUUUAGGGGCCCCAAAUAGAGCGCCUUAUAUAUGGGAUGGGGUGGAGGAAAGAGUGAGGAGAAGACUAGCUCUUUGGAAACGGUAAUACAUUUCUAAAGGAGGAAGAGUCACCUUAAUAAAAAGUACAUUGACUAGCAUGCCAAUCUACCAAAUGUCCAUUUUCAGAAUGCCAAAGGUUGUUGUUAGAAGGAUUGAGAAAGUGCAAAGGGAUUUUCUAUGGGGAGGGGGAAACAUGGAGAGAAAAGUGCAUUUGGUUAAAUGGGAGGUGGUUUGUACAGACAAAGAGAAAGGUGGGCUAGGCCUUAGAAAGCUAGCUUUGUUGAACAAAGCUUUACUUGGCAAGUGGAUAUGGAGGUAUGCAUGUGAAAAAAAUAUUUUGUGGAGACAAGUGAUUAAGGUGAAGUAUGGGCAGGAGGGUCUUGAUUGGAGGCCCAAAAAGGGAAUUGGGGCGGUUGGUGUAGGGGUUUGGAAGGAGAUCUGGAAAGAAUCAGAUUGGUGUUGGGAUAACAUAACAUUCCGUGUAGGAAAGGGCAACUUGAUUUGUUUUUGGACAGAUGUGUGGUGCUCAGAAUCUUCAUUGGCUCAAUGUUUCCCUCAUCUCUUUGGUAUGGCUGUGCAUCAGAGUUUGACGGUUAAGGAAAUGUGGGAUCAAAAUUCGGGUCAAGGAAACUGGAACCUACACUUCUUGAGGGACUUCAAUGAUUGGGAGAUUGAGCUGGUUGGGGAGUUCCUCCACAUUUUGAGGGGUUUUAAACCUUCUUUGGAGGAAGAUUCAGUUAUAUGGAGAAAAGGAAGAAGUGGUCAGUUUAGGGUUAAGGAAGCUUACAGUUUGUUGACGAAUUCUGAGGUUAUGGGAUUUCCCCAUAAAAGCAUUUGGGUGGCAAGAGUGCCAACUAAAGUUGCUUUUUUUGCGUGGGAGGCGGCAUGGGGGAAGGUGCUAACUUUGGAUAGGCUUCAAAGAAGAGGAUUUCAACUUCCAAAUCGGUGUUUCUUGUGUGAAUGUGAAGAAGAGAGUGUAAAUCAUAUCCUUAUAUAUUGUACAGUGGUUAGAGCUUUAUGGGAUAUUGUCUUUGGUUUAGUUGAUGUAAAAUGGGUUUUUCCGGGAACUGUAAAGGAGGUCUUAGCUAGUUGGAGGGGUUCGUUUGUGGGAAAGAAAAGGAAAAAGAUAUGGGAUGCCAUUCCGUUGUGCAUUUUUUGGACGGUAUGGAAGGAGAGGAAUAGAUUAGCUUUUAGGGGGGGGGGGGGUUUUGAAUAUCCAAAAGUUAAAGAAUUCUUUUGUUUNNNNNNNNNNNNNNNNNNNNNNNNNNNNNNNNNNNNNNNNNNNNNNNNNNNNNNNNNNNNNNNNNNNNNNNNNNNNNNNNNNNNNNNNNNNNNNNNNNNNCUUUGUUGAACAAAGCUUUACUUGGCAAAUGGAUAUGGAGGUAUGCAUGUGAAAAAAAUAUUUUGUGGAGACAAGUGAUUAAGGUGAAGUAUGGGCAGGAGGGUCUUGAUUGGAGGCCCAAAAAGGGAAAUGGGGCGGUUGGUGUAGGGGCUUGGAAGGAGAUUUGGAAAGAAUCAGAUUGGUGUUGGGAUAACAUGACAUUCCGCGUAGGAAAGGGCAACAUGAUAUGCUUUUGGACAGAUGUGUGGUGCUCAAACUCUUCAUUGGCUCAAUGUUUCCCUCAUCUCUUUGGUAUGGCUGCGCAUCAGAGUUUGACGGUUGAGGAAAUGUGGGAUCAAAAUUCGGGUCAAGGAAACUGGAACCUACACUUUUUGAGGGACUUCAAUGAUUGGGAGAUUGAGUUGGUUGGGGAGUUCCUCCACAUUUUGAGGGGUUUUAAACCUUCUUUGGAGGAAGAUUCAGUUAUUUGGAGAAAAGGAAGAAGUGGUCAGUUUAGGGUUAAGGAAGCUUACAGUUUGUUGACGAAUUCUGAUGUUAUGGGAUUUCCUCAUAAAAGCAUUUGGGUGGCAAGAGUGCCAACUAAAGUUGCUUUUUUUGCGUGGGAGGCGUCAUGGGGGAAGGUGUUAACUUUGGAUAGUCUUCAAAGAAGAGGAUUUCAACUUCCAAAUCGGUGUUUCUUGUGCGAAUGUGAAGAAGAAAGUGUAAAUCAUAUCCUUAUAUAUUGUACAGUGGUUAGAGCCUUAUGGGAUAUUGUCUUUGGUUUAGUUGAUGUAAAAUGGGUUUUUCCAGGAACUGUAAAGGAGGUCUUAACUAGUUAGAGGGGCUCGUUUGUGGGAAAGAAAAGGAAAAAGAUAUGGGAUGCCAUUCCGUUGUGUAUUUUUUGGACGGUAUGGAAGGAGAGGAAUAGAUUAGCUUUUAGGGGGGGGGGAGGGGUUUGAAUGUUCAAAAGUUAAAGAAUUCUUUUGUUUGUAACUUGUGGAGUUGGGCCAAAUUGUAUGUAGGUGAGAAGGCGUUCUCCCUUAUAGGCUUUUUAGAGUGGAUAGCCUCCACUUAAAGGGAGGUGAUUCUCUGUUUUGUUUUCUGAGGCCCAUGCUAUUUUGUAUACUUCCUGUAUGCUGUGUGGCGUUCAGCCUUUCUUAAUGCAUAUCUUUUACUUAUCAAAAAAAAAAAAAAAAAAAUUUUGAUGUUGUACAACAAGUUGAUAAUUCUCGAAAUAAUUAUGUGUUUUCAACAAGCUUGUGGAAAGUUGUUUCCUACACUCUUCUUGUAAAUUGUUUUGUGGAAGAAUAAGAUUCUUGAAUUCCCCAUAUUCAAAAGAAAUUUCAGCAGAUUCUUCAUGUUUGCCACCACUCAUGAUAAUGUUUGGCCUUGGGAAAUCAAACAUCGAUUCUUCUAAAACUUCUUCAACUUCUUUGAGUUCUUCUAUUGGUUGAUCUAGGAUUAGUUUCAUCACCUCUUGCUUUCUAGAUUCAUCACUGAUGAUUUCUUCCUCCUUUCUAGUAACUUCGACUUGCUUUUUAAUAAAAAUAUUUGAUGGCUCUUCUAGUUUCAAGGGUGCUAAUUUUUCCUCUGGUUGCUUAUGUGAUGGAAUUUCCUUCAUUGGACGAAGGAUCUUCUUACACCCAUUGCGCACAAGUGUGUAAGUGUUCUCAUAUCCAUCAUGUUGGACCCUUUCAUCAAAAAGCCAUGGUCUUCCAAGCAUAAUAUGAGCAACUUUCAUCAGCAAAACAUCACACCAUGAUGAUAACUCAAAAUUAUUACUGAAAUUAAACGUCACUAGACAACGAGAACUCGCCAAAAUAGAUGUGUCAUUUACCCAUGCUAUUUGAUAGGGAUUUGGAUGAUCUUCUGUCUUUAGAUUAAGCUUCUCAACAAGCUCCUCUGAAGCUAGAUUGGAACAACUACCUCCAUCAAUAAUCAAAGUACAUAGUCUUCCUUGACAAACAAUACGAGUUUGGAAUAUGCUAGUAUGUCGCCAAUCCUCCUCUUCAUUUAGUCUUAGUAUGUUCACCAAUGGCUGCAUAAAAAAGUUGUAGCUUUCAACCAUGGUUGCAUAUGUUGCUCCACUCCUCAAUUACAUAUGCCUUCAUGCCAAGAAUUUUCGCUCUGAUACCAAAAUUGAUGUAGGACAACCCUAGGAUGGUUGCCUACACUCAAGGGUAGGUGGGCUAGGGUUUUAUUUUUAAGGUGUAAAGAGAGGAACAAGGAAUAAAUUUUAUGGUAGAGAAAAUUAUAAGAUAAGAAAUAGAGAGAAAGAAGAAACAAUGAAGAAAAGAUGAAAAACCUUAGAGUCUCACUAAGGCCUUCUAAGAGUCUCACCUAGAAGAAAAUCAAUGGAGUCUCACCAUUGAGGGUUGCAAUUUUGCAAUGAAAGAAAGUAUAAUAUUAUUCAUCAAAUUCAUCCCUUUGAUUUACAUUGAUUAGCCUAUUUAUAGGCUUCUCUAAGAAAUCCAAAGUCUACUAGGACUCUAAUAACCUAUUAUGAUUCUCAUUCUAAUUAUAACAUCCAAAGUCUACUAGGACUCUUCAAAUUCUAAUUAUAUUAUAACUCAACUAGCUAAUCCUAAUUAGACUCCAACAAAUAUUAAUCCUAAUUUAAUUCCAAGUAAUAUUAAUCCUAUUUUAAUUACAACUAAUACUAAUUCCCUUUCUUGAUAUAUAUCUUGAAGAUUCAUCCUCAUCAAAUAACCUGCUCCCAAAGAGCCCCCCUUUCAACCAUAAAAUGCCAACUUCAUUUGCACAAAAGGGCCCUAUUGAGUGUAGAAAGACAUCCAACAUCCAAUCCACCCUUUCUUUUGUUUGAACAAACCACCGCCUACUUAACUAGAUGAGGCUUCCUCCCUAAAGCCCCCCCUAAAGAAAGUCCCUUUAGAUUUUCUCUAAUCUCAAUCUAACCACUCUUUGCAUAUGGAAUAGGGACAUGUAGUAAAUAAGGAAGCUAGACAAUGUACUCUGAAUAAGAGUGAUUCUCCCUCCCUUAGAGAUAAAUUGCCUUUUUCAUAGAGCUAGCCUUUUGCGAAACCUCUCCACCACCCCAUCCCAAACUGCCACAGGAUUAUGCGGAGCACCUAGAGGAAGCCCCAAAUAAGAGGAAGGAAGCUCUCCCACCUUACAACCAAGCUCAAGGGCCAAAACCUCAAGAGGAAGGGAGGAGGAUUCCAUCCCCCUCCCUAGAGGAAGCCCCAAGCAUUUUCUUGUAGAUAGGGUAGCUAUCUAAAUUCUACCAUCGAUCAUCUUUGGUUGGUUAAGUUGAUUGAGUAAUUUGAAUAUGCUCUUUGUGGAUUUGUACUUUAUGUUGCUGAGUAAAUGCUCCUAUAUUUAAGUGAUGGUCAAGUUUUUUCUUUUUGAGUUCUCAAGCAUAGAUAAGGAAAAUUUAGUAAGCUAAUUCACCUAUUAAGGUGGGGCAUCCAAGAGUUGAACUUGGGACAUUUUGCACCCACAGAAAGAAUCAUUUUAGUGUAUCAAAUGUGCAGAUGUUGUACAUGUUUUGUUAUAUCAAUAUGAUUGCUUCUUAUCACCAUUGUAACUCUUAAAAGUUUUUUAUGCAUGUUGAGUGAAUGUGCAUUUGGUUGUUAAAAUAUCAGUACAAAGAAGUGGCAAAAACAAUAGGAGUAGAUUUUAUCCAGUAGCUUCAGAAAUAAUCAAAACUUAAACAGGAGUUCUGUGCCUACAAUCCAUGAUUUGAGUGUCUAGCAUGUUUGUCUCUAAAGUCUCUUGUUUAUACAAUUGCUUGUUUGGCAUGGCAAAAAGCUGUUUCCUACUGUACAGAUGGAAUAUUUUCUUGAUUAGGUUUCCAUCUAUAUUCUAACUUUGGUUGUGUUUGGUUGGUACUGUUGAUUUAUUAACUUGAAUAAUUGAUUUCAUCUUUGUGGAUGUUCAUUCCAUGCAACACUUUCUGCUCUUUGUUAUAGUGUAUGUGUUGGGAUUGGGCUGAUGCAUUUUUAAGGUGACUGAGGUGAAAGGUUUUGUUUGUCUUGCCCAUGUUGAUAUUAUUAUCUGCUGCUUACUUAUCAAUGAAGGAUAAUUAACAUUUUCUGUGGAAGUGUUUAACUUUGGAUGACAUCUUUGCCUAAAUAUUUAGAACAGAAAAAUAGCAGUAAAAGAUUGUAUGUGUAGGUGAAGUCACUGAUUAAGGUGGGGCAUUCUGAGAAUCAAACUUGGGGCCUCUUGCACCCAGAGCAAGAAUCACACCACCAGACCACAUGUCCAGUUCCUUUAUGCCACAAUAUUUAUAUCAAAUUUUCCAUAGUGAGAUGCUCAUUACAUGUUGACUCUAAAGAACCUUUUUGUCAUCAAUGUGUUUGUUGGAGCAUACAUACUGUGAUCAUGAAUGUUGUCAUGAACACAGAAAAAUUAAAAUGUUUCGUGGCAGUUUUUUAGUUGACAGGGAAUUACAUAGUUAAGCCAAAAAAUUUAAAUUAGAAUGAAGUAAAAAUAUGCCCACUGAAUUGGUUCAUUACCACUAUGAUAACGAUGGAGUAUUUAGAAAAAAAAUUCACUAUUUCCUUGUUGAAAGAAAAAACUACCAGUCGACCAAAUAUCUCUCUCUCUCUCAUCAGUGUUCAAUUUGGCAUGUCCUUGUGCUGUCCUUAAGUCUAGAGAAAAGAAUGCCUGCUUGGAUCCACUUGUUAUUUUUUUAUGACAUGCAUACUUUAUCAAUUGCAUUGCUAUAGUGUUUAUAUUGGUAAGCUGCUGAGGAAAUGCUAACAAGUGUUAUGCUUUGGGUUUGACCCUAUUUCCAUGAAGCCAAGUGUUCUUGCUGGAAAAGAGUCAAAGACCACUUUGAGAGACCUUUUUUUUCCUAAUAUGGUCUUGAUGAUAAAAGAAUGUCCUUGAGCUUUUAUUCUCUUAAUCCAUGACUGCGCUCAUGCAACUCAAGCUGAAGAAACUUAUUCAAUGGUCACUGCUAACCACUUUUGGUCCCAAAUCUUUGAUGUUUACAUAUGAAUCCCUACGUCGUUACAUUCCAUUUAGGAUUAGGAAUAGGCGUAAGAAGGAAGUUUGAGCUUGAUGCAAAUGGCUAAAAUAUCUUCCGCUUAGAUAGAUUAUAGAUAUAAGAAAAUCUAAUAAAAAAUGUUGCAUUCAUACCAAAUCAUCUGGCAGUUGUCCAAGGGGACAUUCUAAGAAGUGAUCUCAAAUCCUUGCACCUAAAGUAACAGUUUGAUUGCUAAACCAAACUCCCAAUUGUCGUUUCUUAUUGUUUUCUUUUCAUUUUCACCUUUGUUGGACAACCCAGCUGCAACUGUGAUAUGUUUGUCUAAGAUGUCCUUCAAAGGUAGGUAGCCUCCAGACAUGGCUCCAGAGAGCUAAAAUUGGAAAAUAAAAUUUUAUUUUGUUGUUUUUUUAUUUUUAUUUUUAUGAACAAAACUCUUCUGAAUUAGAGGUACUGAAAUCUUUUAGUCUAUGGUAGUUUUACAUUGCUCCUUUGAGUGAUUAGAUGAUUUAGAAAAAAUAAAUUAAUGAUGAAAUCUUAAUAAUUUUCGUGGUUCUUCUCAUCUUUUAUUGGCUAAAGUUCAUUGAGUAUUUGAAUUUGUUCUUCAAUUGGAUGUUCACACCAUGUGACAGUGCUUUCUCAUGUUCCAGUGUUAACUGCAUGUGUUGGGGUUGAGGAAGAUGGCUUUCUGUGCCAACCAUAAGGUUGCAGGUUUGAUUUUUGAGAUGCUCACCUUGAUUCAAGAUCUGCUUCUUGCUUCUUCUCAAUUCAUCCAUGAAGAAUAUUGUCAGAGCAGUGUUGUGUCUGUACCAGUUAAUUCUUUUCUCUUUUUAAUUCUACUUCAGAUCAGAUUAAUCUACUCAGAAUUUUUAAACAUAUGAUAUUAUGCUAUAGUUCUUGUAGAUUUUUUAUGUUUUGUUUCAUUGAGUACGUGAAUGACUGCUUCCAUUUCUUCUAAUAUUAUGGCUAAGUUAUGUGCUGCAGUUGAGGCAGCUCAUGCUUGUUUCUUAUUAAUUAAUUGUAAAGAAUUUUGUCAUGUUACAAUUAUUUCUGGUCUUGUUAAAACUUUCGAUUACAGAUUUUGAGUUGACUAUAGGUCAGAUUGUUAAAAUAUUUAAACAGAAUGAAAAGGAGAACUGAAUACUGUAUGGGUAAACUAAUUCCUGAUUAAAGUAUGUUAUAUCUGGCCUAGUGAAACUUUCCAUAACAGAUUUUGAGCUGACAUUAGGUCAGAUUCCUCGAAUAUUUAAAAUAGAACGAAAUGGAGAACUGAAUACUGUAUGGGUAAACUAAUUCCUGAUUAAAGUACUAUGCUUCUUUACUCAAAGCAGAAUGAAAUGGAGAACUGGAUACUGCAUAAGUGAAUUAAUUGCUGAGUAGAGUACUUUGCUUCAUUAUUUAAAGCAGAAUGAAAUUAGACAAAUAAAAUGACUAUGCAUGAAUGAAUUCUUGAUUAACGUAUGUAUCUUGGACUGACAAAGAAAGUCUAUUACUUAAAUUUAUUGAUAAAGUAUAUCUUAGUAGGUUUGGGUUGGAGUACUUGGCUCAGUACCUGAAUAAAUGAGCAGGGAUAAGGUGAUAAAACUGCUCGGUGGAGAACCCAAAGACAACUGCCACAUCCCAGAACUGACAAACUUUUUGUGACCAUGUAGAGCAGUUAAGCUGGAGAUUCAGAAAGUUUUCAUAAACUGAAGUUACCUACAUAGGUAAGAAAGAAUAACUCAUUUUCUUUUCUUCUUAUGCUAUUGUUCUAUUCGGUUUUAGUUGUAUGAGUACUUGAAAUUUUUUGUUUAAAUGGAUGUUCACACCACGUGACACUGAGCAAAUUCUUCCAUGUGUCCUUGCAUUAUGGUUAAGUGUGUAUGCUGGGAUUGAGGCAGAUGACUUUUUUCUGCCAAACUCUGACAAUGAGGCUGCAGAUUUGAACUUUGGGCUGCCUGCCUUGAUAUCAAUAUCUGAUUCUUUUUUCAUAUCCAUUUAUUAAGCCAUCUUGUCAGAACAAAAUUAUAUUUAGAGUAGUUAAAUUUUUUUAUUGCAGUUUGACUUUUAGGUGAGUCUAGAAGAGAGUGAAAUGGAGAACUGGAAAAAUGUGUAGAUGAGUGAAUUUCUCAUAAAAAUGGGGCAUUCCGAGAAUUGAACUCGGGACCUCUCGCACCCUAAGCGAGAAUCAUACCACUAGACCAAAUGCCCAUUUGCUGAUUUUUAUGUUUUCAGCUUCUGAUCAAUGUGGCUGAUUGGAUUUAAAGGGGUUAGUAGCUAUUGCUCCAAUUUCUCCUGUUAACUUCUAGGUGAUCCACCUUCAUCUAAAGGAGUGUGCUUUCUUGUUGCCCUCAACCUCCUAAGAUUUGGAUCUCACAGUCUGAACCCAAACAGCCUUUAUUUUUAUAUUGUUUAUCUUAUAGAUUCAUAAAUAUUAUGUAGCCUAGAUAUUGACUUGUUUGGUCCCUGGAUACCAAGAGCUAGAAAUUUAAGAUUGUAUUCUGACCAAUUAGUGGUGCCCAAGUCUCUGAGUUAUUGUCAUCUUCCUUUGCUUCUUUGGUUAGUCAGACUGGAGGAAGAUGAGAUUAAAUUUGAAGUCUUCCAUGAAUUGGUGGUUGUAUGAUUCAAAAUAUAUGGGAUUAACCAUUUUUUUUAAUCCCAUAGUUCUAAUAGAUUUACCUGUAUAAGUUCUUGAAUUUGUUCUUCAAAUGAUGUUCAGGUGAUGUGGCACUGAACAAAUUCUUCCAUGCGUUCUAGUAUUGAGCUUAGGUGUAAGUUCUGGGACUGGGAUAGAUGGCUUUCCCUGUUGAGUGCUGGCAACACGAUCACAGGAUUUAUUUUGGUCUGCUCAUAUUAAUUGCUUCUUUUUUCUCAUCAAUUUAUAGAUGGAAAAUCUUGUCAGAACACAGUUAAACCUGGACUAGUUAAAAUUUUCAUUGCAGUUGGACUUCAGGUCAGUCUACUUUGCUCAGAUAUUUAAAAUAGAAUAAAGUAGACAACUGAAAAUAUAUAGGUAAAUGAGCUUGUUAUUAAAAUGGGGCAUUCCGAGAAUCGAACUCGGGACCUCUCGCACCCAAAGCGAGAAUCAUGCCACUAGACCAAAUGCCCAGUUGCUGAUGUUGUGCUGUUCAGUUUAUGAUCAAUGUGGCUUAUUAAAUUGAGGUCUUUAUCACUUCUGAUCUCCUAUAGCUACUGUUAAUAUAAGGUGAACUUUCUUCAUUUAAAGGCCAUUUUUUCUUGGUACCACCCAUGAGAUUUGUAUGUGAUAUUUCGAACCUGAACAGAUUUUAGUAUUAUAUUGCUUACCUAAUAGAUUCAUAAUCUUAUGAUUGCCUAGAUAUGGAGUUGCUUGGUUCCUGGAUAGUAAGGACUACAAUGAUUAAUGGCAUCCAAUUCUCUAAGUCUUUGAUCAGUUUACUUUGCUUCUUGGUUGCCCAGAGAGUGGUGGAAAAAGAAAUUAAAUUUGAAACCUAAUAUGAAUUGGAGGUUGUAUGAUUUAAAAUAUUCCUUUUCUUCCCUAAGAUAUCUUUGCAACCAAAGCAUAUUUUUAGCCUCGAAGAACAAGUUGAGCUAGAACAUCAAAUCCUAUUUGUUGUCACAGCAAGAUUAAUCAGAAUGCUUGUGUAUCUUAAUUAAGAUUAAUCAGAAUGUCAUGCAUUGGGUGGUGACCUAACCUCAAAAUCUUCAGUAAUUACUGAAGUUUUGUUUGCUUAGUUUCCACGUAAUUGUUACUUCUACAAUGUUGUUGUGCACUGAAAGGUUGAGAUGCUAUUUUCAAGUACAUUUAAAUCAGGAUGCAGAUCAACUUUGAAAAGAGAUAAUUUUACAUAAGGAAAUCAUUGAUUUUUAUGUUUUUUUAAUUUUUAAUUUUUUUUAUUUUUGUAUGGUGAAAAGCAUGUUUUUUGAUCCAAGAAAAGGUCUGUUACUUUCUUAAUUUAUUAUUGGAGCAUCUCAUUGAUAACUCUUAGGUGUACAAGUUGACCAGAUCAGAAUGCUUGGUAGAGCACUUGGAAAAAUGAGCAGCAGACUGGAAAAUUUGGUGGAGAGCCUAAACACAGGGUACCAUAUCCCAAGAAAGAACUAAAUCUUUUGGCAACCAUGUGGAACUGGGUGGUUGGACUUCCGGAAAAUUCCCAUAAACUGAUCUCAACUACUUAUGUAAGAAUGGAUGGCACACUUGUUUUCCUUUUAUACUUUGGUUGUGGUAAACUUUUGCUUGGUUUAAGUUGAUUGAGUACUUGAGCCUGUUCUUCAAAUGAGCAACCACUUCCAAAUUUUUUCUAUGCCCAAGUGUUUGUGCCACGGUCAAGGCAGCUGGUGCUGGCUUCUUAUUAGCUCAUUGAUAAAGAAUCUUGUCAGUGCAUAAUUAUAUCUGGCCUAGCUAGAAGUUUCCUUGCUGUUUUUAAGUUGACUUUAGGUAAGAUUGCUCACAUAUUUAAAGCACAGUGAAAUAGAAAACUGAGCACUGUCUAGGUCAAUGAUCCCUGAUUAGUUUAUCUUGCUGUUUUUGAGUUGACUUUCAAUCAGAUUACUCUAAUAUUUAAAACACAAUGAAAUAGAGAACUGAAUAACUUACCAGAUUAAUGAUUCCUGAUUAGUACUCUGCUUAAACAUUUAAAAUAGAAUGAAAUAGGUGAGUGAAAAUUUAAAAAAACAAAAUAAAAUCUGUACAGGCAAAUGACUUCCUGAAUAAAAAGUGGGGCAUUCCGAGAAUCGAACUCGGGACCUCUUGCACCCAAAGCAAGAAUCAUACCACUAGACCAAAUGCCCGAUUAUUGAUGCAUAUUAGUUUUAUUUUUAGUCAAGUGUUUAGUUGAAUUUACAUCUUUUGCAGUUGAAAAUUUUUUCUGCAUGUUGACUGAAUGUACCUUUAGUUAUUAAUAUAUCAGUACAGUAGGCUGUAUGCUUGCUUAUAUAUCAUGUUAUACUCAUGAUCAUGCUAAUAUCUGUAACUGGAUUUAGAAUUUGUGGCAAUGGACUUUAUGUGUACUGUGUUGACUUAAUAUGAUGUUGAUCCAUAGGCUCUAGUGUUUAGUGCUUCAAUACCAGACUUGGGUCUGAAUUGAACCAUAUACUUGUACAUUUGCUCACAUGCAUGCACACACACAUGUGAGUUUGAAGAGGUUCUGGGUACUUGUAUGUUUUUUGUUCACAUAUUUUGAUUACUCGUGGUGUGUGUUUACCAAAACAACAUGUGCUAUUUCGGUGAGAGCUAUAUUCUUCAUUAUGCCACUAAUAUAGCUUGUUGAUGGUUCUUUUCUAUUCUAGUGGUUUUUAUUUGAGUUGAGGCUAUUGCUCAACAGGACAAGCUUUGUAAACUGUUCAUGAGGUCAAUUUGUAGGUGGGAAUCUCAUCAUGGAAAAAGGAAAAUUGUGAUGAUUUAAUUGGUCUUAUGUUGCAGUGAGUUGGCCUGGGUUAUAAUACUGACUCAAGUUUGUAUCAAAAUAAAUAAAUAAUAUAUAAUAAAAUUGUGAGUUUGUUUAAUCCCUGAUUUGGAUAGGGCAUUCUAAGAAUGAAAGUUGAGACAUCAUGCACUCAAGGGGAGAAUCCUACCACUAGAUCAAUUGCCUUAUCAUUGAUGGUUAUCUAUUAUCAGAAAAUUAGUGUGUUUCUGUGGUUGGCUGUAAUUGCAAUAACUUGGUUAGUUUUAAGUUUUAUUGGUUGCAACUGAAAAUGCUUGUUCUUUUAUUCUCCUCAAUUGGGAAACUUUUGAAUUGCAAGAAGAGGCUUUCCUUUGCCAGCAGGUGCUUAGAGGGUCCAAGAAAUAUGAGAGUAUUAAUCAAAUUUGAUCCCCAUUUUCUCCUGUGGAUCUUUACAGUAAUCUUAGAAAAAACAACAUUUCCUGGUCUUGAUCUGUAGAUCUUCUUGAGCAUUAUCUAUACCUUGCAAGGGACUUAGGUGACUCAUCUGAAGCAUUGGUCUUGAGAUCGAAGCGGUUACAUAUUUUUCCAAUAACCACUAGCUUGCAAAAAGGGUAAGAAUGCUUGUGGUAUUAGUAACUUCCAAAAGAUUUCCUGAAAUUGUUCAUGCUUCUUCACAUGUUGAUCCCUAGAAGUCAUGACUGCAGCCUAAGACAUGAGAUUUUAGUAGUAUAUGAAAGACAACCCUGUUGAGAAGAUAAGUGAUAAGUACCCCAUACAAAAAAUUAAGUGUCCUGAAUCACUAUGCUCUGCCUUGAGGCAUAAAAAAGUAGCAUAUUCUGUUGAGUAGCUUGAAAAUUUGUCAGAACACAAAUAAGAAGCUGAUGCUAACUGUCCAAAAGUUUGGUGGGGAUAAUCCUUUUUUCCAAAGUCUCAUUCCUAUAAUUUGUCAUUGGCAAGCUAAAUUUGUAUUUGGUUGGUGCUGUAUAAUCUGACUGGGCAUUCUCUAGUUCAUAAAUGCUUGUCUGGUGCUAUUCCUGAUUAAAAGUAUUCUGCCCAAAUAUUGGAAACAAAAUGAAAUGUUAUUUCUGUUUGGUGUGUGCUGUGAAACCCUCAGUGAACACUUUCCAGUUCCUGAAUGCUUGUCCAGUGCCUUUUCCUGAUCAAACUACACUGGUCAAAUAUAUAAAACAGAACGAAUAUUGAAAUGAAUUCCUGGUUAUAGUACUCUGUUCAAAUAUUUAAAACAGAUAAAAAUAUAGAUAAAAGAAAACUGCACUGGUUAAGGAAUUCCUGAUCAAAAGUGGGGGCAUUCCGAGAAUCGACCUCUCGCACCCAAAGCGAGAAUCAUACCACUAGACCAAAUGCCCAACUGUUGAAUUUUAUCAUAUUCAACUUAUGAUCAUUGUGUGUGAUUGGAAUCAAGGGACUAGUCACUUUUGAUCUCUUGUCACUCCUUUUAAUUUUUAAGUGGACCUUUAUUUAAAGAAGCAACCUGUUCCUGUUGCCUCACCUGUUUUGAGGUGUAUGUGUGGCUAGCAGGGGUUGAAUUUGAAACUUCUACUUCUGAUACUCUCUUAAUUUCAGAAGCCAUUAGAUUGCUUGAAUAGGUUUAGUUUUCAAGCUAAUUGCUUGGCUAGGGUUUGUGUUCAAGUUAAUUGCCUUGAUAGGGUUUUGUUUUCAAUCAAAUUGCUUAGAUAGGGAUUUGUCCUCAAGCUAUAAACUAUUACAGCAAGGAACCAACAGAAUGUCAAUUUCAUUCCAGUAUCAAAUGUUCCAAAUUGAUUCUUUUCUGAAUAUCUAUUUGGAGGAAGCGAAAUUGUCUGAUCUUGAACCUGAGGCUGCUAUAGUUAUCAGAUUCUUAUCCUGAGAAAUUGAUGUUGUUUCUGUGGCCUCUGCAAGCACAGAAAUCUUUUGUACCACAAUAGUGUUCAAUGUAUUUCUUCUCUUUAUUGAAUGGAACUGUCUUGGCAUUAAGUUCUAUUGCAGGCUUCAGAUGACCCAUCAGAAGCAAUCAAGUGUAGUCUGCAGUGUCAUUCUUCUUAGUGUUGGGCUGGAGUAAAGCAGUGUAAGAGUUGAAAGUGAAUCUUGUUCUGGUGGCAGUCCAAGAUUAAUCAGAAUGCUUGUUGAUGCUAUUUCCAAAUAAAUCAAAUGUUUUCUUGUAAAUAGGGUUGCUAUUCAAAUUCUAUCUUUGGUCAUCUCUGGUUGGUAAAGUUGAUUGAGUGAUUUGAAUAUGCUCUUUGUGGAUUUUUACUCCAUGUUCGUGAGUAAAUGCUCCUAUAUUUAAGUGAUGGUCAAGUCUUUUCUUUUGAGUUCCCAAGGAUGGAGCAGGAAAAUUUAAUGUAGCAUUCACCAAUUAAGGUGGGGCAUCCAGAGUUGAACUUGGGAUAUUUUGCACCCAAAGCAAGAGUCAUUUUAGUAGAUCAAAUGUGCAAGUGUUGGUACAUAUUUUGCUACAUCAAUGUGCUUGCUUCCUAUCACCAAUUGUAAUUGUUGAUAGUUUUUCAUGCAUGUUGACUUAAUGUGCAUUUGGUUGUUAAAAUAUCAGUACAGAGAAGUGGCCAAAACAACAUGACCAUAUUUUAUUCAGUAGCUUCAGAAAUCAUCAAAACUUAAACAGGAGCGCUAGGCCUAGGAUCCAAGAUUUGGGUGUGUCUAGCAUGCUUAUCUCUCAAGUCUCUUGUUUAUACAAUUGCUUGUUUGGCUUUAAGGUGAGUUUACUGUUCAGAUAUUUAAAAGAGAAGGAAAUAGAGAACUAAAAAAUGUAUAGAUGAGUGAAUUUCUCAUAAAAAUGGGGCAUUCCGAGAAUUGAACUUGGGACCUCUCACACCCUAAGCGACAAUCAUACCACUAGACCAAUUGCCCAUUUUCUGAUUUUUAUGUUUUCAUCUUCUGACCAAUGUGGUUGAUUGGAUUUAAAGGGAUUUGUAACUCAUGCUCCAAUUUCACCUGAUAACUUUGAGGUGAUCCACCUUCAAAUGUGCAGAUGUUGGUACAUAUUUUGCCAUAUCAAUGUGCCUGCUUCUUAUCACCAAUUGUAACUGUUGCUAGUUUUUGAUACAUGUUGACUUAAUGAGCAUUUGGUUGUUAAAAUAUUAGUAAAAAGUAGUGGCAAAAACAACAGGAGCAGAUUUUAUUAUGUAGCUUCAGAAAUAAUCAAAACAUAAACAGGAGUUCUGGGCCUUCAAUCCAAGAUUUGGGUGUGUCUAGCAUGUUUAUCUCUCAAGUCUCUUGUUUAUAUAAUUGCUUGUUUGGCUUUUAGGUCAGUCUAGUCUGUUCAGAUAUUUAAAAGAGAAGAAAAUAUAGAACUAAAAAAUUUAUAGAUGAGUGAAUUUCUCAUAAAAAUGGGGCAUUCCGAGAAUUGAACUCGGGACCUCUCGCACCCUAAGCGAGAAUCAUACCACUAGACCAAAUGCCCAUUUGCUGAUUUUUAUGUUUUCAUCUUCUGAUCAAUGUGGCUAUUUGGAUUUGAAGGGGUUUGUAACUUUUGCUCCAAUUUCUCCUGUUAACUUUUAGGCGACUCACCUUCAUCUAAAGGAGUGUGCUUUCUUGGUGUCCUCAACCUCCUAAGAUUUGGAUCUCACAGUCUGAACCCAAGUAGCCCUUAUUAUUAUGUUGUUUGUCUUAUAGAUUAAUAAAUAUUAUAGCGCCUAGAUAUUGACCUGUUUGAUCCCUGGAUACCAAGAGCUAGAAAUGUAAGAUUGUAUUCUGACCAAUUAAUGGUGCCCAAGUCUCUGAGUUGUUGUCAUCUUACUUUGCUUCUUUGGUUUGUCAGACUGGUGGAACAUGAGAUUAAAUUUGAUAACUUCCAUGAAUUGGAGGUUGUAUGAUUUGAAAUAGUCCUUUCCAUUUUCUUCACUGAAAUUUCUAGGCAGCCAGAGCAUAUUGUUAGUAUGUAAAGACAACAAGGUGAGCUGGAACAUUAAAUCUUGUUUGUUGCUAUGGACAGAUUAAUCAAACUGAUUGCAUCACUUGAUAAUUUUCUCUUGCAUUCCCUCAAAAUUUCCAGUUAUCACUGAAGUUUACUUGCUGUAGUCUCCACAUAAUUGUUGCUAAAUGAUUCUGUUACCUGCUGAAUGGUUAAGAUGCUACUUUCAGGAAAUGCUGGAUGUAGAUCUACUUUAAGAAAAACAUUCUAGGUUAGAAAAGCCAUUGAGAACUUCUUCUAUAUGGCUAAUGCAUGCUUCUCUAACCAAAUGGAAAAGUAUGUUCUUAGUUUAUUGAUGGAGUACCUUACAGUAAACUAUUUGGUAGUUGACUGUGUUAGCAUUACUUGAAAAAAUGACAGGAUGAGUUGACAGGACAGUUAGGUGGAAAGCCCAAGAGUAAAAUAUCAUAUCAGGUUGCAGGUUUGAUUUUGAGCUACAAACCUUUAUAUCUAGACCUGCUUCUUGUUUCUUCUCAAUUCAUGGAUGAAGAAUGUUGUCAACAGAGCUUUAUCUGGUCCAGUUGAAGGAUUUAUUUUCUUGCAGUUUGACUUCAGGUCUUUAUUGCAGUUCGACUUCAGCUCAGAAUCUUUAAACAAAAAGUAGAGAAUUGAUAAAACUGUCUGGUUAAAUAAAUUCCUGAUUGAAAUGGGGCAUUCCGAGAAUCGAACUCGGGACCUCUCGCACCCGAAGCGAGAAUCAUACCACUAGACCAAAUGCCCAAUUGCUGAUGUUUAUCUUGUUCAAUAUUUUACUAGUGUUUUUCUAUUAGAUGUAAGGGAUUUUUUAGACCAGUAGGUGCUCUUUUUAAUUCUUAAGUGAACAACCUUGAACUAAAAAAGCAUGGUUUCUUGCUUCACUCCUUCGAAGAUUUGGUAUUGUGUGGUGCUUGUGUCCCUAGCAGGAUGGAUGCAAAAGAUUCUCAAAAGUUACUCAAUCAUGCAUACAUGAUAUGCACAUGUACACACCACACACAUAUGGAUCUCAGCUUUUGAACCUGAAGUAAAUGUUUAGAUUCAUGAUGUUAGGGGUUGGCCAAUAGCCUCUCUGCAUAUGUAAUUUGCCUGUCCAUGGAUAGCAAGAACUAGAAAAGUAAAAUUCCUUCCUACCAAAUUAGAGUGACUUAAUUCUUCAAGUCUCUCAUCAUUUUACUUUGCUUCUUUGGUUGUCCUAGAUGAUGGGGGUAAAGAGAUGAAUUUGGAUGUUGUAUGACUCAAAAUAUUGGUUUUCUUGUUUCUUUCCGGGAAAAGGAAACUAAUAUUUGAAAUUUUGUAUGAACUUGGAGUUGUGUGAAUCAGAAUAUUGCUAUUCCUUAUUUUCUCAGAUUUCUCAGCAGCCGGACAAACCAUACCAGUAGCCUGUUGAGAAACAAGGUAAGCUGAAGGUGAAAUCCUGUAUGCAAGAUUAAUCAUAAUGCUCAUAUGGCUUGAAACUUUCCACAUGCUUUCCUUGGUGCUACCUCAAAAUUUAACUUGGAUUUUGUUUGCUGUAGCCUCUAUUUUUUGGUACUUUGUGAUGUUGUCAUUCAUGGAACUGUUAAGAUGCUAUUAAAUUAGAAUGUGGAUCAUCUUGAAAAAAAUGAUUUUACUUUGGAAAAUCAUCAAGAAUCUUCUGUGGAUAUUCAAAAUAUGUUACUUGUACCAACAAAGGAAGUCCUGCUUCUUAAUUUAAAGACCAAGUAUCUUCACAGGUAAUGACUUGGUUUACAAGUUGACCGGAUCAGAAUACUUGGCAUAGUUCUUGAAGAAAAUGAGAUGAGUUGAUAGGACUGUUAGGUGGAGAGCCCAACCAAAAGAUUCCACAUCCAAGAAAAGACAAACUUUCAGCAACUAUGUAGAGCAGUAAGGUGGGCUGCCAGGAACUUUCUAUGACCUGAAAUUACCUACUUAUACAAGAAACACUGACUUUUAAUUUUUUUUAAUCCCAUACUUCUAAUAGGUUUACCUGCAUAAGUCCUUGAAUUGGUUGUUCAGGCGAUGUGACACUGAACAAAUUCUUCCAUGUGUUCUAGUAUUGAGCUUAGGGGUAUGUUCUGGAACUGAGGCAGACAGUUUUCCCUGCUCUGUGUUGACAAUGAGGUUUCAGGUUUAAUUCUUGUCUGCUCAUAUUGAUUGCUUCUUUUUUCUCUUCAAUUCAUUGAUGGAGAAUCCUGUCAGAACACAGUUAAACCUUGACUAGUUAAAAUUUUUAUUGCAGAUGGACUUUGGGUCAGUCUACUUUGCUCAGAUAUUUAAACUAGAAUAAAGUAGAGAACUGAAAAUAUAUAGUUAAAUGAGCUUGUUAUUAAAAUGGGGCAUUCCGAGAAUCGAACUCGGGACCUCUCGCACCCAAAGCGAGAAUCAUACCACUAGACCAAAUGCCCAGUUGCUGAUGUUUAUGUUGUUCAGUGUUUGAUCAAUGUGGCUGAUUAAAUCUAGGAAUUUAUCACUUCUGAUCUCCUGUAGCUACUGUUAAUUUAAGGUGAACCUCCUUCAUCUGAACAACCAUUUUUUCCUGGUGCCACCCCUGAGAUUUGUAUCUGAUAUUUUGAACCUGAACGGAUUUUAGUAUUAUAUGUUUACCUAAUUGACUCAUAAUGUUAUGAUGGCCUGGAUAUUGAGUUGCUUGGUUCCUGGAUAGCCAGGACUACAAUGAUUAGUGGCAUCCAAGUCUCUUGAGUCUUUGGCCAGUUUGCUUUGCUUCUUGGUUGCCCAGACAGUGGUGGAAAAAGAGAUUAAAUUUGAAACCUUACAUGAAUUGGAGGUUGUAUGACGUAAAAUAUUCCUUUUCUUCCUAAGAGAUCUUUGCAGCCACAGCAUAUUGUUAGCCUCUAAGAACAAGUUGAGAUAGAACAUCAAAUCCUAUUUGUUGUCACGGCAAGAUUAAUCAGCAUGCUUGUGUAUCUUGAUAAUUUCCUCCCGCAUUAGGUGGUGACCUAACCUCAAAAUCUUCAGUAAUUACUGAGGUUUUGUUUGCUUAGUUUCCACGCGGUUGUUAAUUUACUUACUUUACAAUGUUGUUGUGCACUGAAAGGUUAAGAUGCUAUUUUCAAGUAGAUAUAAAUCAGGAUGCAGUUCCAGUAUGAGAAGAGAAAUCAUUUUACACAAGCAGAAUCAUUGGAAACUUUUUUUUUUUUUUUUUUUUGGGUAUUAUGACAAGCAUGUUUUUUGAUCCAAGAAAAAGUCUGUUACUUCUUAAUAUACUGAUGGAGCAUCUCAUUGGUAACUCUUAGGUGUACAAGUUGACUAGAUCAGAAUGCUUGGUAGAGUACUUGGAAAAAUGAGCAGCAGACAAGAAAAUUGGGGGGAGAGCAUAAACACAAGGUUCCAUAUCCCAACAAAGGACUAAUCUAUUGGCAACCAUGUGGAGCUGGGCAGUUGGACUUCCGGAAAAUUCCCAUAACCUGAUCUCACCUACUUAGGUAAGAAUGAAUGGCACACCUGUUUUCCUACUUCACUUUGGUUCUGACAAACUUUUGCUGGUUUUAGUUGAUUGAUUACUUGAGCCUGUUCCUCAAAUGUGUGACUGCUUCCAAUUUUUUUCCAAUAUCAUGGCCAAGUUUGUGUGCUACAGCCAAUACAGCUGGUGCUUGUUUCUUAUUGAUUCAUUGAUAAAGAAUCUUGUCAGUGCAUAAUUAUAUCUGACCUAUGUAAAAGUUUCCUUGCUGUUUUUAAGUUGACUUUAGGUAAGAUAGCUCAAAUAUUUAAAACACAAUGAAACAGAAAACAGAACACAGUGAGGUCACUGAUCCCUGAUUAGUUUCUCUUGCUGGUUUUGAGUUGACUUUCAAUCAUAUUGCUGCAAUAUUUAAAACACAAUGAAAUAGAGUACUGAAUACAGGUCAAUGAUUCCUGAUAAGUACUAUAUUCAAACAUUUAAAACAGAAUGAAAUAGGCAAGUGAGAAAUAAAAAAAUAAAAAUCUGUACAGGCAAAUGACUUCCUGAAAAAAAAAAAUGUGGGGCAUUCCGAGAAUCGAACUCGGGACCUCUCGCACCCAAAGCGAGAAUCAUACCACUAGACCAAAUGCCCACUUGUUGAUGUUUAUGUUGUUUGGUUUCUACUUAAUGUGUUGAUGGAUUCCCUUUCCCCCAUCCUCCAUCAUGAUAGUAUCUCUACCAGGACAGUGCUGAGAUGAAAAUACAAAUUAUCUCAUUUUUUUAACUUGAAACAUCUGUUAAUAUUAUAUUGUCUAUCUCAUCAUUCAAACUUUGUGGUGGCCUUUUCAGAUAUGAAGCUGAGUAGGCUCUGGAUAGCAAAAACCAGAAUAAUAAAAUUGCAAUCUAGCCAAUUAAUGGCACUAAGGACUCUGAGCUCGUGGUCAUUUUCCAUUGCUUCUUGGUUACCCAAACCAUGGAUAAACAAAGAAAUUAAGGUUGAGAUCUUUCAUGAGUUUUGGAGUUUGUAUGCUUCAAAAUAUUUUUUGCCAUCUUUUCUUUUCUUCCUAACAUUCGGCAACAGAGCUUUUUGUUAGCCUGCAGAAAAACAAAAUGAGCUGCAAGGUUGAGUCCUCUUUGUUGCCAUGACACUUAAUCAGAAUGCUCAUAUAGCUUGAUAAUUUCCUCUUGCAUCAGAUGGUGAUCUACCCUCAAAAUCUUGAGCUUCUAUGAUGCUAUUUUCAAGAGCAAUUAAAUCACAAUGUGGAUCAUCUGUAAAGCAAAAUCAUACAUCAGGAAAAUUGUAAAGAACUUCCUUUGUAUGAUUAUAAAUAUGCUUCAUUAACCCAAAGUUUGAUUUUUCUUUCUUCUUAAUUUAUUGGAAUAAUAGGCUGCUUGUAAAUAUGUGAUUUACAAGCUGACUGGGUUAGACUUCUUGGUAGAAUACUUUCAAAAUAGAUAAGCAGCUGAAGGAAAGUUAGGUAGAGAGCUCCUAAACAUGAGAUGCCACAUCCCAAGAAAGGACAGAAUCUUUUGACAACCAUGUGGAGCAGUGAAGCUGGACUUCCAGAAACUUCCUAUGACCCGAAAUCACCUACUUUGGUAAGAAAGGAUGUUCUAGUUAUGCUCUAGUUGUCAAAUUUUUCUGGUUUUAAUUGAUUGAGUACUUGAAUUUUUUUGUUCAAAUGAAUGCCUGCUUCCUUUUUUUCUAGAAUCAUGACUAAGUGUAUGUGCUUAGGUUGAGGCAGGUGAUGCUUGUUCCUUAUUAAUUCAUUGACAAAGGAUAUCAGGGCAUGCUGACUUCUGUUCUCAACAAAAUUUUCCAUUGUAGUUCUUCAGUUGACAUUAGAUCAGAUUAGCUCAAGUAUUUAAAACACAAUGAAAUUGACAACUCUACUGUAUGGGUCAAUGAAUUUUUAUUUUAUUUUUUUUUAGAAAAAGUACAGGUGAAUUAAUUCCACAUAAAAAGUGGGGCAUUCCGAGAAUCGAACUCGGGACCUCUCGCACCCAAAGCGAGAAUCAUACCACUAGACCAAAUGCCCACUUAUUGAUGUAUGUGUUGUUUUGAUUCUGAUCAAAUUUAAGGGAUCAGUCACUAUUGAUCUCCAACUGCUCCUGUUAAUUUUUAAGCGAAACUACCUUCAUCUGAAGGAGCUUACUCUUCUUGGUGCCCCACCACCUGAGAUUUAGUAUUUUGUGAUGCCAAUGUCUUUAGCAGGAUGAUGUAGAACAUGAUAAAAUUACAUCUGGAUCUCAUAUUUUGAACCCAAAACAUCUGUUGGUAUUAUAUUGCCUAUUUCAUAGGCUCAAACCCUGUGGCAUCCUUCAGAGACAAGGAGUUGAUUUGGCCCUGGAUAGCAAGAACCAGAAAAGUAAAAUUGUAUCCUAAGUUCCUAACCAAGUAAUUGCACACUCAAUUCUUUGCCCAUCUCAUCGUUUUAGUUCUUUGGUUGCCCAGAAUAUAGAGGAAAAAAGAAAUUUAUUUUGAAACCCUUUCAUUAAUUUGGAGGUUGUUCUCUUCCAAAAUAUUCCUUUUCCUUUUUUCCUGCUUAAGAUUUCUCUGCAGCCAGCACAUACUGUUUGCCUUUGGGAAACAAAGUGAGCUGGAUGGUUAGUUCUUGUUUGUUCCCAUGGCAAGAUUAACAAAAAAGCUUGCAUAGUUUGACAAUUUCCUCUUUUAUCAGAGGGUGGCAUUCAAUCAAAAUCUACUUUGCUGUAGCUUCUGCAUAACGUUUACUUUCUAAUGCUGUUCAUUGUUAGGAUGCUAUCUUCAAAUAUGAUCAAACUGGGAUGCAGACCAACUUUUAAAAAUCAGGAAAAUCAGAGAGAAUUUUCGUGGGGUCAAAGUGUGUCUCCUUGAUCCAAAGAAAAAGUAUGUUACAAAGUUAAAGUGUGUUCCUUUGACCCAAAAAUGAAGCCUAUUUACCUCCUUCUUACAAGACCGAAUUAGAAUGCUUGGUGCAGUAGUUGAAAGGAGGAGCAGCUGAGAGGAAAGUUAGGUGGAGAGCCCAAAAUCAAAAUGUGACGUCUCAAGAACAGAAUCUUUUGGCAGCUGUAUAAAGCAGUGCAGCUGGACUGUCAGAAACUUCUCACUGCCCAAAAUCAAUUG